Molecule: ribosomal RNA, 301 nt
Filed under: uncultured bacterium
Lineage: Bacteria
Description: partial 16S ribosomal RNA
Rfam family: Bacterial small subunit ribosomal RNA
Source: RNAcentral
CAGCAGCCGCGGUAAUACGUAUGUCGCGAGCGUUAUCCGGAAUUAUUGGGCAUAAAGGGCAUCUAGGCGGCCGGAUAAGUCUGGGGUGAAAACUUGCGGCUCAACCGCAAGCCUGCCCUGGAAACUAUGCGGCUAGAGUACUGGAGAGGUGGACGGAACUGCACGAGUAGAGGUGAAAUUCGUAGGUAUGUGCAGGAAUGCCGAUGAUGAAGAUAGUUCACUGGACGGUAACUGACGCUGAAGUGCGAAAGCUAGGGGAGCAAACAGGAUUAGAGACCCCAGUAGUCCCUGUCUCUUAUAA